Molecule: ribosomal RNA, 682 nt
Filed under: Streptomyces sp.
Lineage: Bacteria; Bacillati; Actinomycetota; Actinomycetes; Kitasatosporales; Streptomycetaceae
Description: bacterial SSU rRNA
Rfam family: Bacterial small subunit ribosomal RNA
Source: RNAcentral
CCCCUACUCCUACGGGAGGCAGCAGUGGGGAAUAUUGCACAAUGGGCGAAAGCCUGAUGCAGCGACGCCGCGUGAGGGAUGACGGCCUUCGGGUUGUAAACCUCUUUCAGCAGGGAAGAAGCGAAAGUGACGGUACCUGCAGAAGAAGCGCCGGCUAACUACGUGCCAGCAGCCGCGGUAAUACGUAGGGCGCGAGCGUUGUCCGGAAUUAUUGGGCGUAAAGAGCUCGUAGGCGGCUUGUCACGUCGGUUGUGAAAGCCCGGGGCUUAACCCCGGGUCUGCAGUCGAUACGGGCAGGCUAGAGUUCGGUAGGGGAGAUCGGAAUUCCUGGUGUAGCGGUGAAAUGCGCAGAUAUCAGGAGGAACCACCGGUGGCGAAGGCGGAUCUCUGGGCCGAUACUGACGCUGAGGAGCGAAAGCGUGGGGAGCGAACAGGAUUAGAUACCCUGGUAGUCCACGCCGUAAACGGUGGGCACUAGGUGUGGGCGACAUUCCACGUCGUCCGUGCCGCAGCUAACGCAUUAAGUGCCCCGCCUGGGGAGUACGGCCGCAAGGCUAAAACUCAAAGGAAUUGACGGGGGCCCGCACAAGCGGCGGAGCAUGUGGCUUAAUUUGACGCAACGCGAAGAACCUUACCAAGGCUUGACAUACACCGGAAACGUCCAGAGAUGGGCCGCCCCCCU